ACCAAAAUGGAAUUUAAGUCAUGCUGUCUCUAUCACACGAGGGAUAACGGCAUGUGGAUACACAAAUAAAUUUUAUAUACAGACUAACGGAAAAUCAACCAUACCCGAGAAACAAACCAGAUAGUCCAGCAUCCAUGACCCGAUAAAGAUGGAGAACCCUUUAGAUGUGUUGUCUCGGGCGGCGUCGAUGUUGGAGACAAAUCAGAUUAACACAGGACAAUGAUGUUGAUUAUAAUAUACAAGGAAAGAAAUAGAUGAAAGAGAGGAAGAUAUAGAUGAAAGAGAGGAAGAUGUAGAAGAAGAUGAAAGAGAGGAAGAUGUAGAUAUAAUUUGGGGUAAAAAUGUCAAGGUCAUGAUAAUACUCCAUUUUGUAUAGUGCUAAUGUUGAGAAAUAUUGAAAAUAAUGCAAAGUUGUGUGAAAUUUUUAUCCAUUUGGUAGCUGACUGGUGUGUGAUUUUUCUGUAUAUAUUGUAGGUAUGGCACAUAUACCGUGUUAAGAUUGAAAUUUUUUUUAAAAGAUGUUAGCUGGGGUAAAUGUAAAUGGGGUAAGGUAUUGAAUGAGGAUUAGAGGGGAGUGAAAAUCAUAACAACAUCCUCAGCGGAGAAUCUACAUUCACCUGAGGAGCAGCCUUGAGAAACAGUGCAGCACAGUGCUCCGCCAGUGUAUCAUAUUGUAGAGCUCGUUGUCAUUCAUUAUCUUGCACCACCUAAAGAUUUUGCGAAGAGUUGAAUAAUAGCAUUAGUCAUAACAGAAGGUUUAAACUCUUCUCAUAUGUUGUGUGGCAGUGUAAUCUAGGACUCUGUAUCGACCAGAUUUUUUCGGUGCGAUACAAUAUUUGUAUGUGCGAUGUACAAUAUAUUGGGAGUUAUUUCACGCAUUUAAAAAUUCCACUGAAAAGAUAAAGAUAAACAAUAAAUUUGGUGAUUUGACAUAUUGUUUUUCUCUUUGCGUAACAUUAUUCCAUGGGCUAUCUUGAAUAUCCCAUUACACAAUCAUCAAACUGAAUAAUAUUUAAAUUCAGUGUUCUUGACUUUUUGGGCAGGGAGGAGGGACUUUUGUUUUUUGGUUGCAGUUGUUGUUGUUUCAGCAACAGUUGUUCAAUGAGCAAGAAUAUUGGAUUAUUUUACUUUAAAUUUGAGAAACCAAUUAAGUUGAAGUAAACAAAUAACCACAGAAUUGCUUUUUCCCCCAAGAUUUUAUUAACAUUGCUUCAAACUUAUAAGUAGUAAGAACCACUGGGUGUCUGGGUAGCGCUCUCGCUUCUCACCGCUGCGACCCGAGUUCAAACCCCGUGAUCGGCAGUGGUUGUAUGUGAGAGGGUAUGGUGGUCACCCGCUCGGAUACGUGAGUUUCCUUCGGGUUCUCCGGUUUCCUCCCACAUAAAUGACCCCUAGCUGCAAUAAUGUAGCCCUCUCCAAUCUAAAACGUCGGAAUAAAAAAAAUUGGAUAGGGCUACAUUAUUGCAGCUAAAAUGACCCCCAUAGUGCAAACAUCCGCGCGCGUGUACAUCAAAGGACCCCA
Molecule: long non-coding RNA, 1522 nt
Organism: Ostrea edulis (European flat oyster)
Lineage: Eukaryota; Metazoa; Mollusca; Bivalvia; Ostreida; Ostreidae
Exons: 3
Source: RefSeq, a predicted model, not a curated record